Meleagris gallopavo (turkey) is the source of this 3323-nucleotide non-coding RNA. The record is from RefSeq and is a predicted model, not a curated record. Lineage: Eukaryota; Metazoa; Chordata; Aves; Galliformes; Phasianidae.
CCUGAAUGGCUUAUCCUCAUUUGACUCUGGGUCUGCAGAUGUGAAAUAACCCCAUGAUGCCCUGAGAAAAGGCAGGAAUGGUAAGCCAGGCUUCAGGAUGUCAAGCACACACACAGGUGUCCCCAUCUCAGCCUCAGCCCUCUGCUGCUACCUGCUUAUAGGCUGAAGGGAAGGAAGGCUCUGUUACCACUAAUUGGCCACCUUGUAAGCCUCUGCUUAGAGGGAGUGUUUGCAGGCUCAGCAACAGCUGUAAGAGGGGAAAUGGCCUUUCUCUCUCCUUCAGUUCUCAGCAGCUGCAAGAGGGAUCUCCUUGGAUUUUUCACCUUUAUUAAGAACAAACCCAAACAUCAACAGCAAGAAAUGUUAGUGCUUUCUUGUGCAGCAGAUGUUACUCUCUUGGGAAUUUGGUCACAGGGUUACCAUCUGCUCCUCUGGUGUACGAGAGCCAUGCCCAAGCAUCCCUCUGAGAGCUGAUGUCUGGGUGCUUCGACCACCUGGUGCCGUGCUCUGCUGUCUCUGUUGGGUUUUGUUACAGAAGUGGUGGAAUGACUCCAAAAGAUGUGCCUGAAAAGCACAGGCAGCACGUUCUCCACUUUGAUGAGGGAAUCACCAACGAGAAGGGUAAUGAGAGAUGUAAGCAGAUAAAAUUGCUGGCUGUUCUGGCUCACAUACACCAGAUUUGGAAAAGGGUUCCUCCAUCUGUAGUGAACAAUCAGCACCAGGGCUACUCCAGUCUAUCAGUGAACAUCUGCUGAAGGGGCCCUUGCUUUGCCCCACAGCACUCUCUGGGUCUGGGUAGAUGAGACUUUUGAGGUAGGCCUUGCAGCACCUCCUUUUCUGCAGCCUUGAGGAUUGUGUCUGUUCCCCAGAGCUGGAGACACUACGGCCAUUUCUUCUCAUUCCUCUGGUAGAAAAUGCCCCCCAGAAGGGAAACUACUUGUUUCUCACCUGAUCAACCACUUCACUUCAUCUGAAGCCAAAUGUUUUCAAUCUUCUGUAAAUUCCAAAAUACGUCAAUCUCAGAGGGACUCACAACAACAUUUGCAUUUUUUUUCAAUUCCAUAAGGGAACAAAAUGAAUUAAUCAUCUCCUGGGCCCACCCCCUCUCUUGCUGCAGGCAUGGUGGAAGAGCAUCACAGUGCUGCCUCCGUCAAAGCCCUUCCUCUGGGGCAUGACCGCCGUCUCAGCUUCCAGGGCAGCCUUGGGAAGACUGGCGGGGGGAUAUGUGGCACUGCUGAAAGAGCCCAAGGAAGGCCAUAGUGAAGGUCUGCCCUUGGUUGCUCUCCUCCUCCCACGGCUGCUGCCCUUGGCUCUCCAGCUGCCCUGUGGCUGUGAUGAGCACGUUACAGGGACGCACUCACCUCUGCUGUAAAUGUCAAACCUGUGCUUUUACUCAUCCAUCCUUCCUCCCCUCAUCUGCUAUUCAGCCCAUGACAAAGCUCUUCUCAGGAUGGAUAGAUGAGGAAGGAGGAACAAACUGUCCUCUAACAAGCGAGGCACGUAAAGCUGUGACUGCAGCUAAUAAGUGCAUGAAAGACGUAAUUUCGCUGCCAGCACACAGUCCCCAUGCAGGGACAAUGCCUCUGCAAAGCCUGCUGGCAGACACUCCAGCCAGAGACAGCUGCACAGAACAUCCUUAUGGGGUGUGGAGAGGAGGGAAUGACACGUCUCUGCUCUGCAAUUAGGGCUCUCAUUUUGUCAUUUCUCUUCCCUCUUUGUGGAAGCUGGCACAGUGCUUUGCUUGUUCCCAUCUCCCACCCCCACAGUAGGGCUGCACAGUGUGUGAUGGCCUCUCUGCGGGUUGGGGGGCCCACCACCCUGCCUGCUCUCCCAUUUGCCCAAACGCUGUUUCUGGGAUGGCUGUGCUUUCAGCCCUGUGCCAAGGAUUCCUUGUCUUUGUUUGUUCUGUGGUCUUAGCAGGGCUGCCCAAGCCUUACCCCAUUCAUUAUUUAAUGAUUUAAUUUUAUUUUAUUGAUGAUACUCUCCUCUGACCUGUGUGAUUUAAUGUAUUCUGCUGGAGGCCCUGUAUUGUAACCCAUAUUUCCCAGGUCUUUUCCUUUUCAACCUUUUGUUAUCUGGGUUCUCCAAAGCCCCGAACUUUGAACAUAUGGGGUUUGCACUGCUCUGCAGUGACUCUGCGUGCAGCUUCUGGAUGUGACUGAGCUGGUAUGAUGCACAGCUCAGCAGAUUUCACAGAGAUUAAAACCCUGCAAAGAAAUCACAUCAUACAAACUUUCCUAUCCCAUUACAUGGACAUGCUGCAGGUUUUCUCUGUGCUUCCGUGAGAUGCUAUAGCACAUCAUCUCUCCUAAAGCAUUCACACGCAAAGAUCAUCUGAAGGCAGUACUGCACUGCUCAUGUCCUAAGCAAGGAGUCACUGAGCUGAGUCAGUCAGUGUCAGUUGCACAGUCUGACAUGCUUCCAUCUGAACUUUUAGGGCCCAAUUGUUGUUUACACUGAGUGGUUUCUUCCUGUAUGCUGAAAUCAGCAGGAUUACUCAUGUUGUUUGGUUAGAAAAUCUUAAAAAACAACACCACAGGUUAUGGCAGGUCAGGAUACAAUCAGAGGAUUGAAGUGCAGGAAGAAGUGCUGGGCAUGUAAACAGAGCUGGUGAUGAAAGAUGCCUUCACACAACCUUUCCUUGGUCAUGUGUGCUUCCACAUUAUUAGAGCCCUGGAGCAGGCCAGUGACUCCAAGCUGGAGUGGGACACAGGCUGGGCUAGAGAGAGGGCAUCCACUGGGCACCUAGGGAAUGGGAAAACACACAGGUUUUGGAGAGCAGGAAGCUGGAUACAGUGCUGGUCUUACAUUUUCUUUCCCAUAAUGAAACUUUCAGAAUUGCUGUAUUCAUAGUUUUUCUUUGGUUUCUUUCUUUUUUCUUUUUUCCCUUUCUUUCUAGGUAAGUUCUUUUCAUGUGUAUAAAAACUUCUUCUGCCGUAUUUGCAGGCUUACCAGCACACUUGCUUUGUCUCUCAGCCAAGCGGCAGGAACAACUCAGUUCUGACAGCUCGGAUCUCUCUUGUGUGGGUUUUUCCCUUUUUCCUGAAUUCCCACUUCAGCAACAUCUUCCUGGUGAUGUGUUGCCUGCUACUGAGCAACGUCCCAGAGGACAUCAUCCACAGACCUCAGCCAGAAGGACUACCCCCUCUCUCCAUCAGGACACGGUGCAUUUUGUCAGAGUAGCACUCUUCCCCACGCUGAUGUAGAUCUGACAUUUUUGAGGAGUAGCUCGGGAAGGCUUUAACCUGGCCAGAUCUAGGGCAAGAGACCCCUGGGGACAGCAGACUGGGUCCCAGACUUCUGAUGCACUUGUGCCAGAGCAG